GGUAUUCUCCCGGUCCCAGCAAAGUGUCAGGACUUCCUCUGAGUCCCGACUGCAUUAGUGUAGGACUUAGAAAUCCAGCUCUGGAUGGCUGGCAGGCUCGCUGUCGUUGUGCUGUCACCAUCUGUCUUCUGAGUGGACACAGCUGGGAACAUGAGAACACACGCAUGUGUGUAUACUAGCAAACGCCCACAUGUAUGACUGUACCCGUCAGCAAUGUAGCUUUAUUUAAAAUAAGUGGAGUCUCGGCACCGAUUCCUGUGGAAGUCUUCAGCUGCUUCUGGCCGUCCACUCCCAACAGUGAGAAAUGCCUCCAGACAUGGAACACCAUCUUUGCUCACAGCAGCUACUCCCCCAGUUCCAUCACCCUGCCCCGCCCACCGCUGUGCCUGCUCCCCACUUCUCAGCCCUGUGACUUCAGGCUGACAGCAGUGCCUCCUGAGGCUCCCACCUCCUCAUAACCCUGCUCCCAUGGGUGCCGGGUAAAGCCUCUAGCUCCACGCAGAACUCCUCCCCACAACGCCCCACUUUCUGGGAGCGCCAUCAACAUUUCUCAGCUUUUUUGUCUCGCUCUGUGCUGGUUCUCUACUGAACCCCUUGGACAAGAUACCCUCAUUUUCCACUCCCUUCGCUUACUGCACAGUUUGAUGCUCCUAUUAGGUAAGGAGGAAGACAAGGAGACAGAGCAGCAGGACUGAGGCUGGCUAAGCCCCUAAGCAGAUGCUUGGAACUUUCUAAGCCUGAGCCCCUUGUGACAUCACAAAUGAGCAGACACUGCCACUCCACCAAGUACUCAGGGCUUUGCCUCCAACAUCCCUGACCCUCACGAAGAUUACCGACCUGGGGCUGCCACCUUGCCCCUUCCACGUGGAGGCAGCUCCCUGGUAAAAACUCUUCUCAGGCAUCCAGGUCCACAUCCACCUCUGCAACAAUGUGAACCUUCCUUAUGGACCACAGGGACAAACAGACAGGUUCCUCUGCCCAAGGAGAGCAUGGAUUGUGCUCUACUGUUCUCAGCUCGAAGUGCUGGGCUCAUCAGUAUGGAUUCAAACUCUCCACGGAUUCCAUCGCCCCUUCUCACAGGAACACAAGUAGGCAGAAGAGUCCAGAGAGGCGCCAGAGGGAACCUGCCACAACACAGCCAGUCACUAAAGAGCUAGCUGGCAGUUCUCUCAAAAAGGGGUUGCAACAAGAGAAGAAC
This is a long non-coding RNA of Cavia porcellus (domestic guinea pig), 1198 nucleotides long. RefSeq lists it as uncharacterized. The record is from RefSeq and is a predicted model, not a curated record. The transcript has 3 exons. NCBI's taxonomy places the organism in Eukaryota, Metazoa, Chordata, Mammalia, Rodentia, Caviidae.